UUUGGUUAAGUUAGAAAGGGCGCACGGUGGAAUGCCUGACACUAGAGUCGAUGAAAGGACGGGAAGGGGACUACGCGAUAUGCUUCGGGGAGGCUGUCAGUAGCUUGAUCCGAAGAUGUUCGGAAUGGGGAAAACCACAUACGUAUGGUAUGGUCUUUUAUCUAUACAUAGGGUAAAGGAAGAAGACCCAGGGAACUGAAACUCUAAGUACCUGGAGGAGAGAAAGCAAUGCGAUUUCCUGAGUAGCGGGAGCGAAACGGACAUAGCCAAACAAGAGGCUUGCUCUUGGGGUUGUAAGGACAUUAUAACGAGUUAACAAAGGACGAGGUAGAGAACGACUGGAAAGGUCCGUCGUAGAGGUAACAACUCCCGUAGUCGAAACUUCGUUCUCCUUGAAUGUAUCUGAGUACGGCGAACACGUGAAAUUCAUCGGUCUGGAGAGACGCAUCUCAGGCUAAAUACUCCUAGUGAGAUCGUGACCAGUAACGUCGAGGGAAAGGUGAAAAGACCCGGAAGGGGAGUGAAAGAGAUCUAAACCGUGUGCCUAAAAUAAGUCAGAGCCCGUUAAGUGGUGAUGCGUGACCUUUUGUGAAUGACAGGCGAGUUCGAUCCCGUGGAGGUUAUAGCUGAGGAGGCGGAGCGCAGCGAAGCGAGUACGAAUAGGGCGUUUUAGUACGUGGUCGUGACCCGAACAGGUGAUUACCCAUGUUCAGGGUGAAUUCAGGUAACACUGAAUGGAGGCCGACCACGCACUGUUGAAAGUGGGGAUGAGUGUGGGUAGCGGAGAAUUCUCAAUCGAACCUGGAGAUAGCUGGUUCUCCGAAAAUAGCUUUAGGGUAGCCUUAAGUGUAAGAGGGUCUUGGGAGGUAGAGCAUGUUGGACUAGGGGUCUCAUCGGAUUACCGAAUUCAGUCAAACUCGAUGCCAAUUUAUCUUAGGAAGUCAGAUGCGAGUGAUAAGAUACGUAAGUUCAAGGGCAAAGCCCAGACCGCAGUAAGGUUCCAAAGUGUGUAUUAAGUGGAAAAGGAAUGUGGAGUUUGGCUUAGACAACUAGAUGUUGGCUUAGAAGCAGCCACCAUUUAAAGAGUGGUAAUCGCUCACUAGUCGAGUGAUCUGCGCCGAAAAUGUACGGGCUAAACCACGAGCUGGGAUUGAUACCGAUGGUUCAGUGGUAGGGGAGGUUUCUAAGGCAGUGAAGUCAGACCGGAAGGACUGGUGGAGGUCUUAGAGUGAGAAUGCGGUAUGAGUAGCGAAAACGGGGUGAGAAUCCGUCCGAAUGCUAGGUUUCGCUGAAGGAGGCUCGUGCUCAGGGUUAGUCCGGAAUAAGCCGAGGGCGAACAGGCGUGCGAUGUGAAAGACAGGUUGAAUAUUCUGUACACUCUUUAUCGUUUGAGCAAUGGAGGGAAGCAGAGGAUAGAAGAAGCGUGGAUUGGUUGUGCACGUCCAGCAGUUAGGUGAAAUAGGGCAAAUGCUUAUAUAAAGGUGAGCUGUGAUGGGGAAGCUCCUUAUGGAGGCGAGUCUUUGAUUCCCGCUGCCCAGAAAGCUUCUAGCGGAGAUAAAGGUGCCUGUACGAAACCGACACAGGUAUGGCGAGAGAGAUGCUAAGGUGGUGCGAGAGGAAUCUGGUUUUAUAAAAAGGGGGACUCGGCAAAAUGACCGUAACUUCGGGAGAAGGGGUGGUUUUAACGGAAAGCGCGCAGUGAAUAGGGCAAGCGACUGUUUAAGCAAAACAGCUCUCUGCGAAGGCCGGUAAGGCUGAAGUAAGGGUGACACCUGCCCGGUGCUGGAAGGUUGAAGGAAGGGGUUUAAGCGUAAGCGAAGCUCUGAACUGAGCCCAGUAAACGGUCGGCGUAACUAUAAGGUCUAAGGUAGGAAAUUACUUGUCGGGUAUGUUCGACCGCACGAAAGGGUAACGAUUGGGCACUGUUAACCAGAGCUCGGUGAAAUUAUAGUACUGUGGAAGAUGCAGGUUACCCGCGACAGGAAGGAAAGAACCCCGUGGAGCUUUACUGUAGCCUGAUAUUGAAUUUUGGUACAGUUUGUACGGAUAGCGGGAGCCAUUGAAACCGGAGCGCUAGCUCGUGGAGGGCGCUGGUGGGAUACGCCUGAUGUAUUGAAUUCUAACCUACGGUCUUAUGACCCGGGAGACGUGUCAGGUGGGCAGUUUGACUGGGGCGGUGCCUCCUAAAGUGUAAACGGAGGCGCCAAAGGUUCCCUCAGAAUGGUUGGAAAUCAUUCGUGAGUGCAAAAGGCAUAAGGGAGCUUGACCUGCGAGACCUACAAGUCGAGCAGAGGACGAUAAGUCGGGUUAGUGUCCGUGGUUCCGCAUGGAGGGCCAUCGCUCAACGGAAUAAAAGCUACCCCGGGAUAAAGGCUUAUCUUCCACAAGAUCACAUCGACGGGGGGUUUGGACCUCGAUGUGUAUCGCAUCCUGGGGUGUAGUCGGUCCGCAAGGGUUUGGGCUGUUGCCAUUAAAGCGGUACGGAGCUGGGUUCAGAACGUCGUGAGACCAGUUCGGUCCCUUAUCCGUCGUGGGCGGUAGGAAAAUUUGAGAGGGGAGUGUCUUAGUAGAGAGAGGGAUGGACACCGCUGGUGUACAGUUGUUUGCAAGGGCAAUAGUGGUAGCUAUGGUGCGGAAGGGAUUAAGUGCUGAAAGCUCUAAAGCAUGAAGCCCGCCUCAAGAUGAGAAUUUCGCCAUAGCGUAAGCUAGUAAGAUCCCUGAAAGAUGAUCAAGGUUGAAUAGGUUCGAGGUGGAAGCAUGGUGAAUGUGGAGCUGACGAAUUAAUAGAUCGAGGACUUAACCAUAUAA
RNAcentral lists this ribosomal RNA (2808 nucleotides) under Bacillus sp. UFRGS-B20. RNAcentral describes it as "bacterial LSU rRNA". It matches the Rfam family "Bacterial large subunit ribosomal RNA". The record is from RNAcentral. Lineage: Bacteria; Bacillati; Bacillota; Bacilli; Caryophanales; Bacillaceae.